UGCAGUCGAGCGGACAGAAGGGAGCUUGCUCCCGGAUGUUAGCGGCGGACGGGUGAGUAACACGUGGGUAACCUGCCUGUAAGACUGGGAUAACUCCGGGAAACCGGAGCUAAUACCGGAUAGUUCCUUGAACCGCAUGGUUCAAGGAUGAAAGACGGUUUCGGCUGUCACUUACAGAUGGACCCGCGGCGCAUUAGCUAGUUGGUGGGGUAAUGGCUCACCAAGGCGACGAUGCGUAGCCGACCUGAGAGGGUGAUCGGCCACACUGGGACUGAGACACGGCCCAGACUCCUACGGGAGGCAGCAGUAGGGAAUCUUCCGCAAUGGACGAAAGUCUGACGGAGCAACGCCGCGUGAGUGAUGAAGGUUUUCGGAUCGUAAAGCUCUGUUGUUAGGGAAGAACAAGUGCGAGAGUAACUGCUCGCACCUUGACGGUACCUAACCAGAAAGCCACGGCUAACUACGUGCCAGCAGCCGCGGUAAUACGUAGGUGGCAAGCGUUGUCCGGAAUUAUUGGGCGUAAAGGGCUCGCAGGCGGUUUCUUAAGUCUGAUGUGAAAGCCCCCGGCUCAACCGGGGAGGGUCAUUGGAAACUGGGAAACUUGAGUGCAGAAGAGGAGAGUGGAAUUCCACGUGUAGCGGUGAAAUGCGUAGAGAUGUGGAGGAACACCAGUGGCGAAGGCGACUCUCUGGUCUGUAACUGACGCUGAGGAGCGAAAGCGUGGGGAGCGAACAGGAUUAGAUACCCUGGUAGUCCACGCCGUAAACGAUGAGUGCUAAGUGUUAU
RNAcentral lists this ribosomal RNA (786 nucleotides) under Bacillus sp. V10-PCA-E14. RNAcentral describes it as "bacterial SSU rRNA". It matches the Rfam family "Bacterial small subunit ribosomal RNA", at positions 56 to 826 of the family's 1533-position model. The record is from RNAcentral. Lineage: Bacteria; Bacillati; Bacillota; Bacilli; Caryophanales; Bacillaceae.